Non-coding RNA from Cinara cedri, 223 nucleotides. NCBI's taxonomy places the organism in Eukaryota, Metazoa, Arthropoda, Insecta, Hemiptera, Aphididae. The record is from the annotation of a GenBank genome assembly.
AUAAAAUAAAAAUAAAGCCGAAAUUGUAUUUAUCUCCCUCCAUUGACAGACCACUUUUGAGACUCUGUGUAUAAUCUACUUUCAUUAUAAUUUUCAUAAAAUUUCGGGGGAGGGGGGUUGAACUCCUUAAAUCCCCCCUUAUACAUGCGUCUGAUCAAAACUCUUACUUUAACUCUUCUCAACGCCCGUUCCACCUCUAUAAUCACUUUUAAUUAUUAACUUU